This 380-nucleotide ribosomal RNA is filed under the name uncultured eukaryote. RNAcentral describes it as "partial 18S ribosomal RNA". It matches the Rfam family "Eukaryotic small subunit ribosomal RNA", at positions 592 to 976 of the family's 1831-position model. The record is from RNAcentral.
CAAUAGCGUAUAUUAAAGUUGUUGCGGUUAAAAAGCUCGUAGUUGGAUUUCUGCUGAGAACGACCGGUCCGCCCUUUGGGUGUGUAUCUGGCUCUUUCUUGGCAUCUUCUUGGUGAACGUUGCUGCACUUGACUGUGUGGAGCGCUACCCAGGACUUUUACUUUGAGGAAAUUAGAGUGUUUCAAGCAGGCAUACGCCUUGAAUACAUUAGCAUGGAAUAAUAAGAUAGGACCUCGGUUCUAUUUUGUUGGUUUCUAGAGCUGAGGUAAUGAUUAAUAGGGAUAGUUGGGGGCAUUCGUAUCAUCAAGUCAGAGGUGGGAUUCUUGGAUUUUGAUGCGACGAACUACUGCGAAAGCAUUUGCCAAGGAUGUUUUCAUUGA